ACGGGGGGUGCAAGCGUUGUUCGGAAUUAUUGGGCGUAAAGAGCGUGUAGGCGGCUGAAUAAGUCAGAUGUGAAAUCCGUGGGCUUAACCGAGGAAGUGCAUUUGAAACUAUUCAUCUUGAGUAGGUCUGACGAAAGUGGAAUUCCUGGUGUAGAGGUGAAAUUCGUAGAUAUCACGCAGAACACCGAUGGCGAAGGCGGGUUGCUAGCCCUCAACUGACGCUGAGGCGCGAGAGCGUGGGGAGCAAACAG
This 251-nucleotide ribosomal RNA is filed under the name uncultured prokaryote. Its description in RNAcentral is "partial 16S rRNA". It matches the Rfam family "Bacterial small subunit ribosomal RNA", at positions 525 to 775 of the family's 1533-position model. The record is from RNAcentral.